GGUGGUUGGCGCACCAACGGUCACCCGAAAAUUUUAUUCAAUUUUUUUCAUAAGGUGUUGCUUCUUACUGUGUUUUUUUUUUCUCAGUACAUUCUUAUGGGAUGGCUUGAUUUUAUUUAUCGAAAGUUUACUCCAUGCCCGGCACUGUGCUGAGUAUUUAUUGCCCUGUUUUGAUGAUUUUUGAUUUCUCAUUGCAGCCCUCUGUGGUGGAGACACAGGUGGGGGUACCCAUUUGCAUUUAACAGAUGAGGAAACUGAGGCCCAGAGAAGCAGAGUCACUUGCUGAGGUGACAGCAUGAGUCACGUAGUGGGAAUUCAGACUUGGUGGAAGGCACAGAUGUCUGGUAUUUUUAGCUGGAUUUUUAUUUUGAGUCUUUGUUUUUAACCUCCUGUCGUAGUCUGCGGGCCAGGUGGCUUAAAUAAUAGACCUUUAUUUCUUGCAGUUCUGCAGGCUGGAAGUCAGAGAUCAGGGUACCAGGCAUGGCUGGGUUCUGUUGAGAACCCUCUUGCGGGCUUACAGGCGGCCACCUUCCAGCCAUCCGUGCACUCGCGUGGUGGAGAGAGAGAACAAGCCCCCUGGUGUCUCUUUUUAUAAGAGCACUAAUCCCACCAGGGAGUUGCACCUCAAGGGCUCCUCUAAACCCAGUCACCUCCUGAAGGCCUCAUCGCCAAAUGCCAUCACCCUGGCGGGUAGGGCUUCGACAUAAGAGUUCGGGAGUGGUGGUGAUCACAGCUCCGUCCGUAGCCCCUCCUGAAAUGGCUGAUGACAUUUCACUCUGUGCUGCAGAGACACUUCUCAGCGAGGAAAUAGCCGCCACAUUUCGUGAGAGCCUUCAGCAGAAACCGUCCUUGAGAGCAGAACUGGAGGAGGCAGACUCUGCCCUGUGUCGCCAAGAUAAAAGUGGAUCCGCAGGGGGAUGCAGAGGCAGGUCCGGUGACGAGAGGAGGGCAGCAGUGAAAUGAAAAAGCAGCUUCUGGGGGCGGGAUUGGAAUUCGACAUGAAACAGAGUGGCAGAAGGUUCUCUCUGUGCAGAGCCAACGUCUGAUUUCCCUGGUUGUUAGAGGUCAGGGAGGCCGGUUUACAAGUGCGGGAUGAGGGAUGCUGCGAGAUCACUAAACGCGUUUUGUUUUGCUGUGCCCACCUGCUUUCCAUCCCAUGCUCUGCCUCCUGCUGAAGGAUGCAUGAGUGCAGGAGCGGCUCCCUCCUCUGACCACCCCACCCCUCUGAUGGGACCGCUGAGCUAUGUUAAGGACAGGGAGAAACUUGCCGUUUUGCCUGUGUUCUCUCCUUAUCCGGAAACGUCCCCAGGCCUGUGAAAUUAAGCAGUAACAUAGCAUGCGGCCGUCAUUAUUGCUAGGUAAUUGACUACGUAUCCCGAGUGAAACAAAGGUGGUUACAGAACGGUGAAGUCAAUUAUCAUUUAUUAAUGGUGGUUACAGAGCAUAGCAGAGCAAUUUAUAAAUUGAAUUUUUAAAUUGAAUAGCUUUCUAUUUAUAUUUUUAGAGGUAGGAGGCAGGUGUAUGGGAUAAAGCAUGUGACCUUUAGCUGGUGGCAGGGUGCAUAUGUUUUUGGAGAUUCUUUUUAAAUGAAGUCUUUAUUAGGUCGCCUUUGUGAUGCAUCUUGUUCCCUUAAAUGAAAGCUGUUAAAUGUGCUAAUUCUCUCCAAUCUGAUUUGGGUGAAUGGAUACGGCAACUAUUAUGUGUCUGUAUGUGGGCUGUGAUGUGUAUUUUAUCCACACGCAUAUGCGUGCCUUUAAACAUCAAAAGAGUACAUGUAGAUACACGAAAAGAGGUGUAAGAUAAAGUCAGGGGAAGGUUGGAGCUAACCUCAUGAGACUUUUUCAUCAGUAGAUGUGCCAUUUUAACUGGUCCUGAAAUGGAAAGACAGAUUGCCAAAAAAUCAGGGAAGAGAUCACCAGUAUCAGAGCUUUCACCGGAGGGUGGUUUAGGCUUUGCUGUCUUU
This 1963-nucleotide long non-coding RNA is filed under the name Felis catus (domestic cat). Its description in RNAcentral is "lncRNA (ENSFCAG00000049313.1)". Lineage: Eukaryota; Metazoa; Chordata; Mammalia; Carnivora; Felidae. The record is from RNAcentral.